GGGGUUCGGAACUUCACUCCCAACCCCUG
This 29-nucleotide ribosomal RNA is filed under the name Fusarium proliferatum. Its description in RNAcentral is "partial 18S ribosomal RNA". Lineage: Eukaryota; Fungi; Ascomycota; Sordariomycetes; Hypocreales; Nectriaceae. The record is from RNAcentral.